CCCGGAAGCCGCGGACUCGGGCUAUGCCUCCGUGGACCCUUCCUGGCCACUUUCUCCUGACCCGUGUCCGCCAGGCUGCCGGACCGCGCCCCUCCCCGGGACGUCACGGGAUCUCUGUAAACGCAUUGUUGACUUAGAAAAGAAGUGGAGGGAAUAAAAACUUUAUCAUGGAAUCUGCACCCACCCAUGUGAUCUGCCUGCUAGGCACUUUCCACGGUGUCAUCCACGUCUCUGAGGAAGCAUCAUGAUAGAAAUAGUUAAGUGAAGAAAUGUUUCUUUUCUAAGCGCUUUCACAAGUCAACCGAGAAGACACAGUGCCCAUCUACCAGAAACUUUUGCUGAAAGUUAUGAAGCUGUGUGAAUGGACAGAAAAAUAUAAUGAAUUUCAGAUUUGA
Long non-coding RNA from Equus caballus (horse), 395 nucleotides. RefSeq lists it as uncharacterized. Lineage: Eukaryota; Metazoa; Chordata; Mammalia; Perissodactyla; Equidae. The record is from RefSeq and is a predicted model, not a curated record.